UUUCUUACAAGCAGAAGCCCAUCCCCAGGCAUCCUCUAGUGCUGACUGACGAGAUAGGAGCAAAACUCAUGCAACCUGCCUUUCAGAUGCAAAUAGAACAUUCCUAAGUCCUUUGAGGCACUCUGCCAAUGUGGCUCCUUCCAUUUUGUGGCUCUGCCGGUCUUCUUGAACACAUGGCUCCUGAGGCUGGGGUAGAGAAAGAGAGCAUAUGUUGGAGAACCUGGCGUUCUAUGUCAUGAGAGAAUGAACCAGAAUGGGGCAUAUGCUUCUAACCUGAAGACAAGACUGCAGAAUUGACUAUAUACACAGUCCUGUGUCACUUAAAGACAGGGAUACAUUCUGAGAAAUGCAUCAUGAGGCAGUUUCAUCAUUGUGCGAAUAUCAUGGAGUGUCCUUACACAAAGCUAGACGGUAUACACCUACUACAUACCUAGCCUCUAUGGUAUAGCCUGUUGAUCCUAGGUUACAAACCUGUACAGCAUGUUACUGUAUUCAAUACUGUAAGCAUUUAUGACACAAUGGUAAGUAUUUGUGUAUCUAAAGAUAUCUCAAGAUAGAAAAGGCACAGUAAAAAUACGGUAUUAUAAUCUUAUGGGACCACCAUUUUACAUUCAGUCCAUUAUUGACCAAAGCAUCAUUAUGCAGUACAUGACUGUAUUUGUGUAAGGAAAUUUAAAAAUAAAAAGGUAUGUUUGGAAACAGAUUAAAAGAGGGAUCAUAAAGUGCUGAAAGGACUCCUGUUUGAACCCUGAAAUUUCUCUAGCACUGUUCCUAAACUUUUGGGGUCACUGGCCAGUUAAUAACUGUAGAAAAACCAGAGAGCAUGUACCUUCUAAAUGUACCUACACAUGAAAUUAUGCAUACAAUUUUGGGGAUUCACAGAAAAGUCCUUAAAGGUCUAUCCAUGUGAUUGCUCUCAAUAUGUAUGAGAACACCUGGCCUGAGUGAAAAUUCUCCAUCAGGAGGCUUCUCCCCAUGGCGAACAUGGAGUUAGAGGUUGAAGGCUGAGGAGGAGUUUUGUAGGUAGAAAAGAGAGAAAGAGGCCAGGCGCAGUGGCUCAUGCCUGUAAUCCCAGUACUUUGGGAGGCCAAAGUGGGCAGAUCACUUAAGGUCAGGAGUUCGAGACCAGCCCAGCCAAUAUGGUGAAACCCCGUCUCUACUAAAAAUACAAAAAUUAUCUGGGCAUGGUGGCACAUGCCUGUAGUCCCAGCUAUUCAGGAGGAUGAGGCACAAAAAUUGCUUGAACCCGGGAGGCGGAGGUUGCAGUGAGCCGAGAUUGCACCACUGCACUCCAGCCUGAGUGACAAGAGUGAGACUUGGUCUCAAAAAA
Molecule: long non-coding RNA, 1330 nt
Filed under: Homo sapiens (human)
Lineage: Eukaryota; Metazoa; Chordata; Mammalia; Primates; Hominidae
Description: HSALNT0147564
Source: RNAcentral